GGGGCGCAGUGCAAUAUCUGAAGGGCGAUUUAUUUCUCUGACAGUUCUGGAGCUGAGAGCUCUGCCGCGGGCGCUGAGUCCCCAGCCAUGGGUGGUGGCCCCACACUCCCACCCCCAGUGCUGAGAAAUGCCAAAGCCCCGCACGCCCCGCAGCGAUACGGAGAGGCCGCGCUAAUUAAUUGCGGAGAGCUCAUAUCACAGCCCUACUGGAACUGUCGGUGCUGAAUCCAUUCGUCAUGAUCCAGGAGGGGGGAAGAGACCUCGAGUCAUGCUGUCGUUCUCAGCUCAUGGAAGCGAUUUGCUUUGCGUGAGAGUGCCGGGGAUGAAAGAUGCGUUUGGGAACCACCUCGGCUCACAGAGGUCCCCCCCUGCUUUGCACACUGUCUGCCAGCCCUGCACCCUGCUGGGACACGGGGGGUGCUGGGUGUGAGAGCCCCGUCCCACUCUGUUCUGCUGAUCCUCUCCCUCUGCACUGUGCUUUUGUUUCUCACCUCCUACCCCCCACACCCCCAGACCUUAAUUGGCAGAGCACAGUAAAUCAGAGCUGACAGUGGUUGAAUAGCAGCUGAUUAAAAUCAUUUGUUUUCCAGCUCGGCCAGCUGCAGACUCUUGCCUGCAUGACUCUUGUGGCAUUCCCUGCAUUGCUCGCUCUCCCUCCUUCCUUUUGAAGGAAUCACAUCGCAUUUUUCCAAUUCCUUGUGGAUGAGGUGCUCUGAUUGCCCCCUACACCACCGCCAGCCCACUCCCAUGAGUGCAGCCCCAUGCAGCCCACAGCCACGUGGGAGCUCCCACAGGGCUGUGCAGUGCUCUCUGCUUUCAUUGCACGGCCACAUCUGCUUUGGGUUUGUUUGUGCUUGUUUGGCUUGUUUUUUCCCAACAGCAAAGCUGGGAGGGAGGGAAAAGCAUUUAAUUUCUAAUCCCACGUACCCGAAUCGCAGAACAGUGAGAAAAGAUUUGGGAAGGAGCUGCCAAGGAAGGAAGGACCGGCACUGAGCGGGUGCAUUGCAGGGAAGUGCAUUCCCAUCCCAAAAGCGGGGCCACCGCCAGCCCCGAAAAAUGCACUCUGGCCACAAGUGCCAUUCCCUGGUCUCCAGCAUCUGCUGCCAUAUGCAUCGAAUUAAAACCAAAUGCAAACUAUAAAUCUCCCUGCCAUUCCUCGGAAAGGUUUCACAUGACAACCGCAUUCCUGUGACACUUUCCAUCUUAUGUUUUACCGCACGGGCUAACAGCUGUUUCCAAAACAAACGCCGGUGAUGAGCAGACAGAAUCGCGGCCGCUGGGACAAAGUCGCUGUUGUUGCGCCGGGGCUGCGCCCAUUCAACUCCAUGGGCUCAAAGCACAUGCAGGGAGCUCAGAUCCAGGUCUGCGAUGGGAUUCUUUCAUGCAAACAUUAUUUUUGUGCACAAACACAUCACGAAGCCAAGAUCGCCUCAAGUGUGUAACGUGCCCUACAGAACGGGCCUAAUCCUGCCUUCAGCUUCCCAGUGCUGUGAAGCCCACCUGGGUGACGUUCACCUUCCCGGCACUCAGAUGGGCAGCACCAGUUCCGAAAGCAAUGGCCUCGCUGGGAGGAUGUUUACCUUCCCAAGCCUCCUUCUCCUUACAUUUAAACAAAAACGUUUCCUUUUCUAAACAGUUUACAUUUCUGAUUCCAGAGGUAUCCUGCUUGCCAAAACCACCAGUAUUUGUCUCACUUUAAAUGCAUUUAUAUGCUAAUGCAGACAGUCCCUCCUGCUUGCACACGUACCACACACAACUCUAUAGAAAUUACUCUUUUCCUGCUAGAUUUACAAAGUGUGGCCAUCAAACCUCCUUAUGAUUCAUCUGCAUUGACUGCAGCCCUGCAGUGCUGAUGGGGCUGUGAUGCGGUGGUGAAGCACAGCUCUGGGUGACCCACUGGAGAUGUGGAGCGAUGUGGAUGCUGCAUUUGGAGGAGGAGAAGGGGGAGGAAGGAGACAUAACAGCAGGGAUACGGUUCUGGGAUGGCUGGACAGCAGCACUCCCAUUUAUGUCACCUUUGGGAUCAUCAUUUAUCUUUCCUUAUCCCCCACCGCUAUCGCCCCAUGCCAACAUGUCUGUCUGUUUAUGCCUCUUCUUGAAAACUAUGAAGAGAUUUUGCUUUUAGAAUCCUCAAAUCUUUCAUUCUGAUGGUCCUGUUCUGCAUUAAGGUCAUAUUGUAAUUGAUACAGCAGAAGAAGAUGAAUUGUUUGGGUUGCAGCGCACGGACAGACGUUGGCUUUCUGUCUAAGUUUGGGACAAUCAUUCUCACGAGGAACCUCAGAACUUCUCACACAAUGGAAACUUCAUUUUCCAGCCAACCCCAAUGGUAAUGCCAUUGCACCACUAUUAGUCUUGAAAGGACGCUUAGAGAAACUCGGAUUACUCACUAAGAUCUAAAGAACAAUGCCAUUCUUAAACCACCUUUCUUCCUUUCAAGUUUUCAGGGCUGAAAGCUGACACUGGGAGGGGGAGAACUCUGACUCAUAGCAGGCAGGUCGGACGGCGUGCCAGAUCAGCCAGGGCCCAGCAAAGCUCCGCGUUAUGCUGGAAAAUAACGAUGGAAAAUUCAUUUAAGAAUCGUGUAUGGCUUUGCCGGGGUGGAGGAGGGAAGGGGCAAAUUUAAUUCAGGCCCAGAACUCCCCUCAAACGGAUGCUGGAUGUAAACUUUAGCUGCGUUUCUGUCAGCCUUAAUGGAUUUCACUUAUGGGAACUAUAAUAAACAGCUCAUUAUGGAGUCAGCUGCGGGAGCGUUUUGAGCCCAACAGGGUCAUUUGUUUUCCAAGGCAGAUUUAGUCUAAAGGGGGUGGACAGAAUAAUCCCGCGUUCAAAGUGUCUGCAUUAGUGCUGGAGGAGCGGUGACAAAGUGGCCUUGGGUCCAAAGCAAUGGCUGCUCUUUGCCCGAGCACGGCAAGAGCGCGGGGACAUCCCGGUGCUCACCAAGCACAGCUCAGGGAACAGCCAUUGCUUCUUCAAAUGUUCCUGUUAACAGCACUUAAAAAAAAACCCAUAAAUUCAGCCCAGAAACCAUCCUGGCUAAUAACGCCGAGGCUGGAACUUGUAAAUGCCAUCGCAGCUGCAGCUGUUGUUGUUGUGAGCACUUUGAAAGCCGCUGCUUUCUUUGCUGGAAUAAUGAUCUGCACUGUGUGAUGACCCUCGAAACGUAACAGUGCUGAGAGAUAACAGAGGAGCUGGGUGCUCGGGGAAAACAAUUUGCUGUGAGAAAAACAGCCUGAGUCUUCAUUACAUUGGCUCUGAGUCCUAUUCCUGAAGAAGCUGUUGAUGCUCUGCGCUCUUUUGAGGUUGGCCUCAUCAUUUCUCGUCCCUUCAUUACGAUGCCAUUUGUUAAGCCCGUGACUGCUGAGGAGGCAGUGGGAUGGAUGCGGGUCACAGCAUGGUUACAGCAUCCCCAUGGUGCUCGUGGGGUCUGCAGGAGGACUGGAGGAGCAGAACCAGGGCCGGGGCUGCGUUUUAUGAAACACCUGCAAUGGAAAACACGAGCACAGACCCGUGGGGCCAUCCCUGAGGACACGGCCCCGCACCGCAGUUGGGGGCUCUGUGCCACGCUCCGUGCCGCCGUGCCCAGCGAGUUCUCCUGGUCAGCAUUAAUAACGGCGGAUCAAUUACAGCAGGCAACCGGG
Molecule: long non-coding RNA, 3638 nt
Organism: Gallus gallus (chicken)
Lineage: Eukaryota; Metazoa; Chordata; Aves; Galliformes; Phasianidae
Source: Ensembl